Molecule: ribosomal RNA, 468 nt
Filed under: uncultured bacterium
Lineage: Bacteria
Description: partial 16S ribosomal RNA
Rfam family: Bacterial small subunit ribosomal RNA
Source: RNAcentral
GACGAACGCUGGCGGCGUGCUUAACACAUGCAAGUCGAACGGAAAGGCCCUGCUUUUGUGGGGUGCUCGAGUGGCGAACGGGUGAGUAACACGUGAGUAACCUGCCCUUGACUUUGGGAUAACUUCAGGAAACUGGGGCUAAUACCGGAUAGGAGCUCCUGCUGCAUGGUGGGGGUUGGAAAGUUUCGGCGGUUGGGGAUGGACUCGCGGCUUAUCAGCUUGUUGGUGGGGUAGUGGCUUACCAAGGCUUUGACGGGUAGCCGGCCUGAGAGGGUGACCGGCCACAAUGGGACUGAGAUACGGACCAGACGCCUACGGGAGGCAGCAGUGGGGAGUAUUGCACAAUGGGCGGAAGCCUGAUGCAGCAACGCCGCGUGCGGGAUGACGGCCUUCGGGUUGUAAACCGCUUUCGCCGGAGACGAAGCGUGAGUGACGGUAAUGGGUAAAGAAGCACCGGCUAACUACGUG